UUUGGUGGCGAUAGCGAAGAGGUCACACCCGUUCCCAUACCGAACACGGAAGUUAAGCUCUUCAGCGCCGAUGGUAGUUGGGGGUUUCCCCCUGU
Molecule: ribosomal RNA, 95 nt
Filed under: Escherichia coli
Lineage: Bacteria; Pseudomonadati; Pseudomonadota; Gammaproteobacteria; Enterobacterales; Enterobacteriaceae
Source: RNAcentral